This 2902-nucleotide ribosomal RNA is filed under the name Klebsiella pneumoniae. Its description in RNAcentral is "23S ribosomal RNA". It matches the Rfam family "Bacterial large subunit ribosomal RNA". The record is from RNAcentral. Lineage: Bacteria; Pseudomonadati; Pseudomonadota; Gammaproteobacteria; Enterobacterales; Enterobacteriaceae.
GGUUAAGCGACUAAGCGUACACGGUGGAUGCCCUGGCAGUCAGAGGCGAUGAAGGACGUGCUAAUCUGCGAAAAGCGUCGGUAAGGUGAUAUGAACCGUUAUAACCGGCGAUGUCCGAAUGGGGAAACCCAGUGCAAUUCGUUGCACUAUCGUUAACUGAAUACAUAGGUUAACGAGGCGAACCGGGGGAACUGAAACAUCUAAGUACCCCGAGGAAAAGAAAUCAACCGAGAUUCCCCCAGUAGCGGCGAGCGAACGGGGAGCAGCCCAGAGUCUGAAUCAGCUUGUGUGUUAGUGGAACGGUCUGGAAAGUCCGACGGUACAGGGUGAUAGUCCCGUACACCAAAAUGCACAGGCUGUGAACUCGAAGAGUAGGGCGGGACACGUGGUAUCCUGUCUGAAUAUGGGGGGACCAUCCUCCAAGGCUAAAUACUCCUGACUGACCGAUAGUGAACCAGUACCGUGAGGGAAAGGCGAAAAGAACCCCGGCGAGGGGAGUGAAAAAGAACCUGAAACCGUGUACGUACAAGCAGUGGGAGCACCUUCGGGUGUGACUGCGUACCUUUUGUAUAAUGGGUCAGCGACUUAUAUUCUGUAGCAAGGUUAACCGUAUAGGGGAGCCGCAGGGAAACCGAGUCUUAACUGGGCGUUAAGUUGCAGGGUAUAGACCCGAAACCCGGUGAUCUAGCCAUGGGCAGGUUGAAGGUUGGGUAACACUAACUGGAGGACCGAACCGACUAAUGUUGAAAAAUUAGCGGAUGACUUGUGGCUGGGGGUGAAAGGCCAAUCAAACCGGGAGAUAGCUGGUUCUCCCCGAAAGCUAUUUAGGUAGCGCCUCGUGAAUUCAUCUUCGGGGGUAGAGCACUGUUUCGGCUAGGGGGUCAUCCCGACUUACCAACCCGAUGCAAACUACGAAUACCGAAGAAUGUUAUCACGGGAGACACACGGCGGGUGCUAACGUCCGUCGUGAAGAGGGAAACAACCCAGACCGCCAGCUAAGGUCCCAAAGUCAUGGUUAAGUGGGAAACGAUGUGGGAAGGCACAGACAGCCAGGAUGUUGGCUUAGAAGCAGCCAUCAUUUAAAGAAAGCGUAAUAGCUCACUGGUCGAGUCGGCCUGCGCGGAAGAUGUAACGGGGCUAAACCAUGCACCGAAGCUGCGGCAGCGACACUAUGUGUUGUUGGGUAGGGGAGCGUUCUGUAAGCCUGCGAAGGUGUGCUGUGAGGCAUGCUGGAGGUAUCAGAAGUGCGAAUGCUGACAUAAGUAACGAUAAAGCGGGUGAAAAGCCCGCUCGCCGGAAGACCAAGGGUUCCUGUCCAACGUUAAUCGGGGCAGGGUGAGUCGACCCCUAAGGCGAGGCCGAAAGGCGUAGUCGAUGGGAAACAGGUUAAUAUUCCUGUACUUGGUGUUACUGCGAAGGGGGGACGGAGAAGGCUAUGUUAGCCGGGCGACGGUUGUCCCGGUUUAAGCAUGUAGGCUGGUUAUCCAGGCAAAUCCGGAUAAUCAAGGCUGAGGUGUGAUGACGAGGCACUACGGUGCUGAAGUAACAAAUGCCCUGCUUCCAGGAAAAGCCUCUAAGCAUCAGGUAACAUCAAAUCGUACCCCAAACCGACACAGGUGGUCAGGUAGAGAAUACCAAGGCGCUUGAGAGAACUCGGGUGAAGGAACUAGGCAAAAUGGUGCCGUAACUUCGGGAGAAGGCACGCUGGUGUGUAGGUGAAGUCCCUGCGGAUGGAGCUGAGACCAGUCGAAGAUACCAGCUGGCUGCAACUGUUUAUUAAAAACACAGCACUGUGCAAACACGAAAGUGGACGUAUACGGUGUGACGCCUGCCCGGUGCCGGAAGGUUAAUUGAUGGGGUUAUCCGUAAGGAGAAGCUCUUGAUCGAAGCCCCGGUAAACGGCGGCCGUAACUAUAACGGUCCUAAGGUAGCGAAAUUCCUUGUCGGGUAAGUUCCGACCUGCACGAAUGGCGUAAUGAUGGCCAGGCUGUCUCCACCCGAGACUCAGUGAAAUUGAACUCGCUGUGAAGAUGCAGUGUACCCGCGGCAAGACGGAAAGACCCCGUGAACCUUUACUAUAGCUUGACACUGAACAUUGAGCCUUGAUGUGUAGGAUAGGUGGGAGGCUUUGAAGCGUGGACGCCAGUCUGCGUGGAGCCAACCUUGAAAUACCACCCUUUAAUGUUUGAUGUUCUAACGUUGGCCCCUUACCGGGGUUGCGGACAGUGUCUGGUGGGUAGUUUGACUGGGGCGGUCUCCUCCCAAAGCGUAACGGAGGAGCACGAAGGUUAGCUAAUCCUGGUCGGACAUCAGGAGGUUAGUGCAAUGGCAUAAGCUAGCUUGACUGCGAGCGUGACGGCGCGAGCAGGUGCGAAAGCAGGUCAUAGUGAUCCGGUGGUUCUGAAUGGAAGGGCCAUCGCUCAACGGAUAAAAGGUACUCCGGGGAUAACAGGCUGAUACCGCCCAAGAGUUCAUAUCGACGGCGGUGUUUGGCACCUCGAUGUCGGCUCAUCACAUCCUGGGGCUGAAGUAGGUCCCAAGGGUAUGGCUGUUCGCCAUUUAAAGUGGUACGCGAGCUGGGUUUAGAACGUCGUGAGACAGUUCGGUCCCUAUCUGCCGUGGGCGCUGGAGAAUUGAGGGGGGCUGCUCCUAGUACGAGAGGACCGGAGUGGACGCAUCACUGGUGUUCGGGUUGUCAUGCCAAUGGCACUGCCCGGUAGCUAAAUGCGGAAGAGAUAAGUGCUGAAAGCAUCUAAGCACGAAACUUGCCCCGAGAUGAGUUCUCCCUGAGACUAUAAGUCUCCUGAAGGAACGUUAAAGACGAUGACGUUGAUAGGCCGGGUGUGUAAGCGCAGCGAUGCGUUGAGCUAACCGGUACUAAUGAACCGUGAGGCUUAACCUU